AUUGGACGCUGGCGGCAGGCCUAACACAUGCAAGUCGAACGGUAACAGGAAGCAGCUUGCUGCUUUGCUGACGAGUGGCGGACGGGUGAGUAAUGUCUGGGAAACUGCCUGAUGGAGGGGGAUAACUACUGGAAACGGUAGCUAAUACCGCAUAACGUCGCAAGACCAAAGAGGGGGACCUUCGGGCCUCUUGCCAUCGGAUGUGCCCAGAUGGGAUUAGCUAGUAGGUGGGGUAACGGCUCACCUAGGCGACGAUCCCUAGCUGGUCUGAGAGGAUGACCAGCCACACUGGAACUGAGACACGGUCCAGACUCCUACGGGAGGCAGCAGUGGGGAAUAUUGCACGAUGGGCGCAAGCCUGAUGCAGCCAUGCCGCGUGUAUGAAGAAGGCCUUCGGGUUGUAAAGUACUUUCAGCGGGGAGGAAGGGAGUAAAGUUAAUACCUUUGCUCAUUGACGUUACCCGCAGAAGAAGCACCGGCUAACUCCGUG
RNAcentral lists this ribosomal RNA (490 nucleotides) under uncultured bacterium. RNAcentral describes it as "partial 16S ribosomal RNA". It matches the Rfam family "Bacterial small subunit ribosomal RNA", at positions 30 to 507 of the family's 1533-position model. The record is from RNAcentral.